GAUGAACGCUAGCUACAGGCUUAACACAUGCAAGUCGAGGGGAAACGACAUCGAAAGCUUGCUUUUGAUGGGCGUCGACCGGCGCACGGGUGAGUAACGCGUAUCCAACCUGCCCGUCACUUGGGGAUAACCUUGCGAAAGUAAGACUAAUACCCGAUGAUAUCCCUAGAAGACAUCUGAAAGGGAUUAAAGAUUUAUCGGUGAUGGAUGGGGAUGCGUCUGAUUAGCUUGUUGGCGGGGUAAACGGCCCACCAAGGCAACGAUCAGUAGGGGUUCUGAGAGGAAGGUCCCCCCANAUUGGAACUGAGACACGGUCCAAAACUCCUACGGGAGGCAGCAGUGAGGAAUAUUGGUCAAUGGGGCGAGAGCCUGAACCAGCCAAGUAGCGUGCAGGACGACGGCCCUAUGGGUUGUAAACUGCUUUUAUAAGGGAAUAAAGUGAGCCUCGUGAGGCUUUUUGCAUGUACCUUAUGAAUAAGGACCGGCUAAUUCCGUG
Molecule: ribosomal RNA, 496 nt
Filed under: uncultured bacterium
Lineage: Bacteria
Description: bacterial SSU rRNA
Rfam family: Bacterial small subunit ribosomal RNA
Source: RNAcentral